GAUGAAGAACGCAGCGAAAUGCGAUAAGUAGUGUGAAUUGCAGAAUUCAGUGAAUCAUCGAAUCUUUGAACGCACAUUGCGCCCGCCAGUAUUCUGGCGGGCAUGCCUGUCUGAGCGUCAUUUCAACCCUCAUGCCCCUAGGGCGUGGUGUUGGGGAUCGGCCAAAGCCCGCGAGGGACGGCCGGCCCCUAAAUCUAGUGGCGGACCCGUCGUGGCCUCCUCUGCGAAGUAGUGAUAUUCCGCAUCGGAGAGCGAUGAGCCCCUGCCGUUAAACCCCCAACUUUCCAAGGUUGACCUCAGAUCAGGUAGGAAUACCCGCUGAACUUAAGCAUAUCAAUAAGCGGAGG
Molecule: unclassified non-coding RNA, 347 nt
Filed under: soil metagenome
Description: partial contains 5.8S ribosomal RNA, internal transcribed spacer 2, and large subunit ribosomal RNA
Rfam family: 5.8S ribosomal RNA (bases 1-120)
Source: RNAcentral